GACCUGGUAGCCCAGCGGUUAGUCCGUCUGCUGAAAAUAUACAACCUCGAGAUUAGCUUUUCGCAGAAAACCCCGGUUCGAAUUCGGGCUAGGUCA
Molecule: non-coding RNA, 96 nt
Organism: Mycena epipterygia
Lineage: Eukaryota; Fungi; Basidiomycota; Agaricomycetes; Agaricales; Mycenaceae
Source: the annotation of a GenBank genome assembly